RNAcentral lists this ribosomal RNA (379 nucleotides) under uncultured eukaryote. Its description in RNAcentral is "partial 18S ribosomal RNA". It matches the Rfam family "Eukaryotic small subunit ribosomal RNA", at positions 592 to 976 of the family's 1831-position model. The record is from RNAcentral.
CAAUAGCGUAUAUUAAAGUUGUUGCGGUAAAAAAGCUCGUAGUUGGAUUUCUGCUGAGAGCGACCGGUCCAUACCAUGUAUGCGUAUCUGGCUUGCUCUCGGCAUCCUCUCGAUAGACGUUACUGCGCUUGAUUGCGUGGUGCGGAUCUCGGGACUUUUACUUUGAGGAAAUUAGAGUGUUCACGGCAGGCUUUCGCCAGAAUACAUUAGCAUGGAAUAAUACUAUAGGAUCUUGGUUCUAUUUUGUUGGUUUCUAGAAUUGAGAUAAUGAUUAAUAGGGACAAUUGGGGGCAUUCGUAUCAACACGUCAGAGGUGGAAUUCUUGGAUUGUGUUGCGACGAACUACUGCGAAAGCAUUUGCCAAGGAUGUUUUCAUUGA